CCUACGGGGGGCAGCAGUGAGGAAUAUUGGUCAAUGGACGAGAGUCUGAACCAGCCAAGUAGCGUGAAGGAUGACUGCCCUAUGGGUUGUAAACUUCUUUUAUAUGGGAAUAAAAUGUUCCACGUGUGGGAUUUUGUAUGUACCAUAUGAAUAAGGAUCGGCUAACACCGUGCCAGCAGCCGCGGUAAUACGGAGGAUCCGAGCGUUAUCCGGAUUUAUUGGGUUUAAAGGGAGCGUAGGUGGGUUGUUAAGUCAGUUGUGAAAGUUUGCGGCUCAACCGUAAAAUUGCAGUUGAAACUGGGAGUCUUGAGUACAGUAGAGGUGGGCGGAAUUCGUGGUGUAGCGGUGAAAUGCUUAGAUAUCACGAAGAACUCCGAUUGCGAAGGCAGCUCACUGGACUGCAACUGACACUGAGGCUCGAAAGUGUGGGUAUCAAACAGGAUUAGAUACCCGAGUAGUC
This 460-nucleotide ribosomal RNA is filed under the name uncultured bacterium. RNAcentral's name for it is "partial 16S ribosomal RNA". It matches the Rfam family "Bacterial small subunit ribosomal RNA", at positions 338 to 795 of the family's 1533-position model. The record is from RNAcentral.